GAAUUGGUUUCAUCUACAAUUUCCUGCAACAAUUGAAAGUCAGAAAUAUAAGAUGAAUAUAAAGAAUAUUCUUGUUCAUUUAUUUCAUGGAUCCUUCUCUGUGGAUACUUAUUGGCAUAACGUCAUUUUCUGUAUUUGUAACAAAAAACCAUUUUGCUUGAUUUUCCUCUUCUUUGAACUUCCUUCUGCUGGUUUUUUGAUAGGUCUCUUGGUAAUUUGGAUACUUGUGAAACCUGGAGUAUAAGGUUUGUUGUACCUAUGGAUUCUUCUCUAAUUUGUGGAUUUCAUAUUAUAGUUCUUUGGACGAACUUUUUUUUUUUUUUUGAAGAAGAAGAACCAAGUUCUUUGACUUUCUCAAAUCCAUCAUUGAGAACAUAAAGUCUUCAUUUCUUUUUUAUGAAAAUUUGAAUGCUUUCGAACUUUAGUUUGAAUUUUAUCUCAUUGCAGAUAUCUAGACCACACUCUAUGAUUUUAGAGGUUAAUUGAGCAUAAGUAAGGCUUUUCCAAGGUAUUUUCUCAAGGUGUAUUUUGUUGAGGGAGUUGUAGACUCAUUCUGCCAUGAAGUUUGGAAAUCCGUCAAUGAACAUUUCUUUCCAAUGUCUGGCAUUACAAUCCCUAAAAUUGUAAAUUCUUAACAAAAACAUUUCUUUGUACCAUCUAAAGUUUCCCAUAAACGAACAUUUUAUAAUUUUAUAAUUAUUUUUCUCUGAUUGUCUAUAUCAAAGUCACUUCCUAGGUCGAAGUGUAUGUUGAUUGUGUAGAGAAGAGCUUCUACAACGUCUUCUCCUAUUUCUUGAGUUGUUGAAGUUCCAUCUUCAACUUUAAUCGUCCUUUUAAUUCUCGUCCUGUGUUUUUUUUAUUGAUUCCCUUUGUUCACUGGUUAGGCAAUGAUCCCACCACAUUUUGAGGCUUCCACUAAAUCCAUUGAUUAAUAGCGAAGCGACUUCUCCAUUUGUACGAUUGUUGAAUUCAUAGGAUAUGGAACAAGUUAACAUAUUAUUCAAUAUGAUAUAAAUAUGUUAUUAUGGAGUUCCGUCAAUAUUCCAAACAUAUAUCGAUUCUCCAUUCAACUCAGUAUUUAUAGCAUACCUUUGUCUUUGCUCUAUUCCUUCUCUAGCAAAUGAAGGUCGAUGAUGGAAAUUAAUUUGGUCUCUGCUAUUAACAAACCUUCCAAAAUUUAUCUUGUUGAUUUGUUUCUCUACUUCGUUGACUGAAAGAUUUUCAAAAUCUUCCAAGAAUUGAGUUGCAUCUUCUUCAUUAAGAACGUUAAUUGAACUUUCGCUCCUUAGGUUGUUUAGACGAUUAUUGAUUUCUUCAAGAAACUUUUGUUUUUGAGUUUUUAUUUUAACAUUUUCUAAGGGUUGGAAAAGAUUAUGAGAUUCUUCAAGAGUAGGAAGGUUGAAAGACUUGGCUAGCAAUUGAAGAAAGCAUUUUGUUGGAAUACUUAUUUUGAACUUGGAUGCUCUUUAGUUCUUUAUUUGUAGGAGUCUUGUCCUCUUCAGAAUCCUUCAUCAUUAUUUGAAUGUAGGAAUAAUCAAGUGCUUGUAAAGAUGCUAGAGUGAAGCAGCCUUACAACCACAGGAGCGGAUCCUAGUCGUUCCUUCAACAACGGGUCGAGCUCACUGAAGAACGCAAUUAUCUGGUGGACCGUGUCAAGUUAUUUCAAAAAAUUCACAUUAGUAGGACUGAUGAGUUUGUUUCACCGGAAGUAGAGGACGCACAUUCUCAGCCCGUCUAGAGGGUUCUCAACCACUCUUUGAGGAUGAGAUAUACGAGAUCGUUUUGAAUAGACGACAGAGCUACUCUAAAGGUCUUGGGUUGCGACCCCAAGUCCAAGUCCAGAAAGAAUUCUACUUCCAAUUCUUUCUCCUCUUAUGACCACCAGGCACAAAUAACAUAUGUUAGCGAACUAAGGGCCAACCUUGAAAAUACUAACUGACUGAUUGAAGAACAAUGACUAAGGGAGGAGGACCAGGAUGGAAGAAUGGAAGAAACUGUUCGAAAAAUGGAAGAGAACUAUGCACAUAAAAUAGAGGAGAUGAAGAAGAUGAUCGAGGAUAUGAGUCGACGAGACAGAGAGUAGUGAUCACUUGGGGUUUUGGCGUCUGCAACUAACUAAUAGAAGAUAAGUGUUGUUUUUUU
Cucumis sativus (cucumber) is the source of this 2142-nucleotide long non-coding RNA. RefSeq lists it as uncharacterized. NCBI's taxonomy places the organism in Eukaryota, Viridiplantae, Streptophyta, Magnoliopsida, Cucurbitales, Cucurbitaceae. The record is from RefSeq and is a predicted model, not a curated record. The transcript is spliced from 3 exons.